RNAcentral lists this long non-coding RNA (688 nucleotides) under Hordeum vulgare. RNAcentral describes it as "long non-coding RNA (HVUL_LNC011775)". The record is from RNAcentral. Lineage: Eukaryota; Viridiplantae; Streptophyta; Magnoliopsida; Poales; Poaceae.
GCGAUACUCUGCUGCUAGUGUUCGCCCACUGCUGCUCUCCGUGAAGUUUCAGGACAACAAGGCACAGGCUGGUGACAAAAAAAGAAACACCGUUUACCCUGGCUCAUUUACCUGAAGUCCAACCCACAAGACCAUACCGUGAAGAAUUUUUCACGGGAAGAAUCCACCAAUUUCUUCAUAUCAAGAUCUCAAAGAUAAUUGUGACGGCGCAUGUACGUGGUACCUAUGAUCGUUUCGAUCUAAUCUCCGUUGCGGCUCGAGAGCGAAGCAAAAAUCAUCACGGACCCUACUCGUGCAUAUGUGACUUCGAGGGUGUUUGGAUCCAAAAGACUAAAGCUAGUCUGACUAAAACUAGUCUCUUUAAGAGGCUAAAGUUUCAAACGCCCCUGACUAAAGAGAGGCUAAAACUAGUCUUGAGGCUAAAAUCUUUUAGUCCGGGGUACCCCUACUAAAAUGUGUAUUAGUCAUCUCUCUCCUCAUUUAACUCCUCAUGCAAGUUCUGGAUUUGAGGGUUUGGAGAAUAAUAAAUGCUCAUUAACUUGAUUUUAGUUUCUUUAGUACUUGGAUCCAAGCAUGGGUGAGGAUAGCAAGUUUUAGUCUCAUUACUUUUAGUCAUCGGACUAAAACGUAUCUAAGCACCCUCUUAUCGCUACAUCGGGUCUUUUAGUCAAAGUGAUGGCAACUCCAC